GAUGAAGAACGUAGUGAAAUGCGAUAAUUAAUGUGAAUUGCAGAAUUCAGUGAAUCAUCGAAUCUUUGAACACACAUUGCGCCCGCCAGUAUUCUGGCGGGCAUGCCUGUUCGAGCGUCAUUUCAACCAUCAAGCCCCAGGCUUGUGUUGGGGACCUGCGGCUGCCGCAGGCCCUGAAAACCAGUGGCGGGCUCGCUGUCACACCGGGCGUAGUAGAUUUUAUCUCGCUCAGGGCGUGCUGCGGGUUCCGGCCGUUAAAAAGCCUUUUUUACCCAAGGUUGACCUCGGAUCAGGUAGGAAUACCCGCUGAACUUAAGCAUAUCAAUAAGCGGAGGA
Molecule: unclassified non-coding RNA, 336 nt
Filed under: soil metagenome
Description: partial contains 5.8S ribosomal RNA, internal transcribed spacer 2, and large subunit ribosomal RNA
Rfam family: 5.8S ribosomal RNA (bases 1-120)
Source: RNAcentral